AGUGAACGCUGGCGGUAGGCCUAACACAUGCAAGUCGAACGGCAGCACAGUAAGAGCUUGCUCUUACGGGUGGCGAGUGGCGGACGGGUGAGGAAUACAUCGGAAUCUACUUUUUCGUGGGGGAUAACGUAGGGAAACUUACGCUAAUACCGCAUACGACCUACGGGUGAAAGCAGGGGAUCUUCGGACCUUGCGCGAUUGAAUGAGCCGAUGUCGGAUUAGCUAGUUGGCGGGGUAAAGGCCCACCAAGGCGACGAUCCGUAGCUGGUCUGAGAGGAUGAUCAGCCACACUGGAACUGGGACACGGUCCAGACUCCUACGGGAGGCAGCAGUGGGGAAUAUUGGACAAUGGGCGCAAGCCUGAUCCAGCCAUACCGCGUGGGUGAAGAAGACCUUCGGGUUGUAAAGCCCUUUUGUUGGGAAAGAAAAGCAGCAGGUUAAUACCCCGCUGUUCUGACGGUACCCAAAGAAUAAGCACCGGCUAACUUCGUG
This 492-nucleotide ribosomal RNA is filed under the name uncultured bacterium. Its description in RNAcentral is "partial 16S ribosomal RNA". It matches the Rfam family "Bacterial small subunit ribosomal RNA", at positions 29 to 507 of the family's 1533-position model. The record is from RNAcentral.